GCUGGGCGUGGUGGCACACGCCUGUAAUCCAAGCUACUCAGGAGGCUGAGGCAGGAGAAUUUCUUGAGCCCGGGAGAUGGAGGUUGCAGUGAGCUGAGAUCAUGUCACUACACUCCAGCCUGGGCAACAGAGCGAGACUCUGUCUCAA
RNAcentral lists this non-coding RNA (148 nucleotides) under Pan paniscus (pygmy chimpanzee). Lineage: Eukaryota; Metazoa; Chordata; Mammalia; Primates; Hominidae. The record is from Rfam by way of RNAcentral. RNAcentral also lists the same sequence under 1 other name.